UGUCUUGAUUAGUUUAGCUAGGCUAUUGUCUUACAAGCCUUGAGGCUCAUUGCAUUACUGCCUUUACUUAUACCUAUGCAUUACCUAGUAAAUACUUAUACCUAUAGGCUACAUCGGCCAAUGAUGGUUCCUGUUUCACUCUAGUUAUGACUUUUUACCUAUUGACUCUUCAGGCAGUCCACUUGGUUGCAUUGGUCAGAAAAUUUUUCAGACUUAAGAAUUAUGGAUACUGUAUAAUCACAUACAAUGUGUUGCAAUGAGAUUCAAGCAUCAAAGUCCAGAGGUGCACAUUUUCAUCCUGUUCAAUCCCAUGGAAGCCAAUGCACGGAAAAUCACAUGACCAAUGGCUGCUGGACUGUAUGUUAGCGAAGCUGGCCUACCUGUAUCUGGACCACAGAGUGGUGACCCUGGGGAGAAUUAUGAACCAUGGUUGUGUCUAGAAUAUUACUUUGAAGCUUGAGUUGUCCUUUCCGUGGAAGAAUUUAUCAAAGAAAAAUGAUCCACCGUCUUCAUUGCCUCAAGGGUUAAACUGGGUGUAGAUUCCAGCAGAGUUGCUGAGUAUAAACCCAGUUACCUUAUCACCAUGUCCAACAAAAGCCAAACCAGCAAAGAAGAAUUUUUGGGGAUGAUGAGGUUACCCUUGAGUACUAUUUACUGUAUAACAUAUUCUUAGGCCUCCAUACAUUGGAAAGGCAGGGAGGAGCAGUUGGCAUGUAGGGCACAU
Long non-coding RNA from Malaclemys terrapin pileata, 724 nucleotides. RefSeq lists it as uncharacterized. NCBI's taxonomy places the organism in Eukaryota, Metazoa, Chordata, Testudines, Emydidae. The record is from RefSeq and is a predicted model, not a curated record. The transcript has 4 exons.